UCUCAGGUAGCCCCCAGGAUAAAGUGGCAGUGUCUUUAUCAACUUUGAUGACCUUGAGAAAAGUUGGCUGUUCAGGUACUGGAAAACACAAGACCAACAAUAGACACUUAUAAAUCGAUGUCCAUGGACUCUUUCCUUUGGAAUUGCUGACCAGGAAACUUUCACUAAUGUGCUGUUUAUAACAUCCACUCCAUGGAUCACGGGAGCUGUAUCAGGAUCUGUUAAGCACACAAGAAGGAUUAGCUUCCAAUAAUCUCCUAACACCAUCAUUCGGAUCCUUUUCAAAAGAACUGGCAGAAAUAAAAAGGACAUAGCCAUGAAUUCCAUAAGUGUAAAUGGGGAUUUUCCACGGCUUCUCAGUCAGAACUCUUUCCACCUGACUCCAUCCAUCCAUCUCUAUCUUC
This is a long non-coding RNA of Hippopotamus amphibius kiboko, 404 nucleotides long. RefSeq lists it as uncharacterized. The record is from RefSeq and is a predicted model, not a curated record. The transcript has 3 exons. NCBI's taxonomy places the organism in Eukaryota, Metazoa, Chordata, Mammalia, Artiodactyla, Hippopotamidae.